Molecule: long non-coding RNA, 210 nt
Filed under: Ictidomys tridecemlineatus (thirteen-lined ground squirrel)
Lineage: Eukaryota; Metazoa; Chordata; Mammalia; Rodentia; Sciuridae
Description: lncRNA (ENSSTOG00000029819.1)
Source: RNAcentral
GAACUUUGAUGUUGCUGAAAUAAGGCUUUGAGUACCCGAGGAGGGAAGCUGUGGAGAGAAGUUACAAGUGAGGUGCGGAAUAUCAGAGCCCUGCCACCUCUCCCAGUUGGAAGAUACAGAGCAUCCUACCACACACUGCAUCUGUUGGAGGUCACCUACAGGCAGCCCUGGCAGGACUUGAAGUCCCAUGUGCAACCACUGGAGGGCAGC